UCUAGUAAACGAUAGUUAUAAUAUCCGUCGCGAUUUCGUGCGGUGUCGAAGCCACCAGUUUAUCAACAAAUUAACCGAGUGAUAAUCUCGGUUUUUUUUUCAGUUUUGCAAGAUGGUUAGAAUCUGACACCAGUUCGUGCGUCCAAUAAGAAAACCAUUUUACCGUUCAAAAAUGCCUUGGUGUUUAACGCUUCGCUCAGUGCUACCGGUUCCCCCCAUCCGAUGAGAUCCGGCACCAGCACCGGCGAAGCAAGAAGGUUCAAUCAUCGCAAAACUACCCGAGAACAGAAUCUCGAACAACAAACCCUUCCUAUAACACGACUACGGAAAGUUCCUGCUGCAUGAACCUCAAUACACCGAUGAUGAAGAGAUGCCAAUGCGUCCGGGUUCGAAACUUCCAAGAAGGCUCUGCCCGGGGCCAGCUCCGAGUCGGAAUUCAAUUCGGUUCCGAAACCAGAUGACUUCCGUUAGAUGACAUGGUUCCGGGAGUUCAAAGAAGGCCAGAAUGCUCCGCUCGGCAGGAGUGUCGGAAAUUGGGAACAGCACAUCAAAAAAAUCGGUGCCAAGCAUUGAUUUGCAGUGUAUUGCAGCUCCGAUCCAGGCUCAUCUGAGCUGGUCAACUGUAACAUUUGCGAAUUUCUGAAAUCCUAAGUUCUGAAAGCUGAAACAUGAAAGAUGAAAUUUUAGUGAGUUAGGUUCAGGUUCAGCUUCAGGUUCAACUACCCGAAAGACGACCCGUGAUUAAGGAUGAAAUGACGAAUAUUCCGAUUCCAGCCCUAGUUAGUGGGAAGAAGCGCAACGCAAAGAGCCACGGCACGGCGCUGAAAGUUCGGCAAGUUACCAAUGAAAUGAUAAAGAUCCAAGAAACGGGGCGAUGUAUUUACGUUGCUGUUCCGUGUACAGAAAACUAUGACAAGCUGUUAAAUAGAUAUUUAGAGAACCAUGCCUUAUCUGUUAACGUUCAUUUUCUGUGUUCUCCGAGGAUAGUUUAAAAACAAAUGGGUGACAAAAAAGACCAUCAUCGAAACGCUCACCUCAAAUACCACAGAAAAUUUCAAUUGAGGCUAAGAUGCUGAAGUUAUUCGGUACUACGGUACCAGCCCAUCAAUAGCUCAGGUUCCCCCAAUGUUAAACAUUUCUGAGAUAGAGGUUGGCCUUUGUGGCAGCAAUGUCCGUAACAACCAAUGUGCGAUCUCCCGACCAGUUGGCACAAAACUUCAGUGGCUAAAAUCAUCGUAUAUCAAGAGUUGUUUCAAGAGUCUGUUGUCAUCCUUGGAUGUGGUCCAUUUUUGCUAUCACUUCAAAAAAGCUACCAGCUAUCAUUGCCACUUUCUAUAUUUUAGGGUGGUAAAACAGUCCUCAAAUUUGGAAACUAGGAAAGGAAGCGGUGUUGUUGGAAAAUUGUUUGAUGCCAAGCUGAAUUAGGAACUGAAUAACGCCGAAAGAAAAUGAGUUCGGUCUAAGUUACUAUCUCAACUAUAAAUAUAAAAUUCCAAUAGGAAAAAAUCGAAUUAAACUUAUUUAAAGAAAUUUUUAGAUUUCCUUUUGAUUAUUGAAAUGAAAACCGAGAUGAAAAUCCCAGGUUUCUUGUUUAGCGGCGUCCACCU
Long non-coding RNA from Uranotaenia lowii, 1607 nucleotides. RefSeq lists it as uncharacterized. NCBI's taxonomy places the organism in Eukaryota, Metazoa, Arthropoda, Insecta, Diptera, Culicidae. The transcript has 3 exons. The record is from RefSeq and is a predicted model, not a curated record.